AGAGUCGGCUCGCUGGCUCAUCUCCCAGGGCAGGAAGGAGGAGGCGCUGAAGGAGCUGCAGAGGGCGGCCCGGCUGAACGGGACCAAGAUACCAGAACACCUGCUGGACAAGCUUGAGAUCGAGGAAACAUCUGGAGGAAGAAACGUAUUCGACAUCUUCCGGAUAUCGUAUUUGAGAAAACGUACUCUCAUAAUGGGCUACAACUGGUUCGCAUCAAUUCUUUUAUACUACGGACUGCUCCUGAAUGUUGGCAGUUUUGGUCUGAAUAUCUACCUCACGCAGUCCAUCUUUGGCGUCGUUCAAUUUCCUGCACAGGCUACUUCUUACACUCUGAUUCAACGCAUUGGAAGGAGGACAGGACUAGUGGGCUUCCUGUUCUUUGGGGGAGCUGCUUGCCUCAUUGUCCUCGCCAUCC
Notothenia coriiceps (black rockcod) is the source of this 416-nucleotide long non-coding RNA. RefSeq lists it as uncharacterized. The transcript has 3 exons. NCBI's taxonomy places the organism in Eukaryota, Metazoa, Chordata, Actinopteri, Perciformes, Nototheniidae. The record is from RefSeq and is a predicted model, not a curated record.